RNAcentral lists this long non-coding RNA (469 nucleotides) under Hordeum vulgare. Its description in RNAcentral is "long non-coding RNA (HVUL_LNC000713)". The record is from RNAcentral. Lineage: Eukaryota; Viridiplantae; Streptophyta; Magnoliopsida; Poales; Poaceae.
AACCUCUCCGAUAACGGUGGGUGACCUAUUUUUCCUUUUAUUUUAGCGCCGGCGAAGUAAAUAUUUUAGUGACCGACGGACGGCGACGCGAGUGACGGACGACGACGGAUCCCUGUGCGUGCUGCGUGCUGCGUGCGUGUGGGUGUGCCCGCAAGAUGGGAUCUUUCCUUUCCUGAUUCCAACACGUUGCUGUUCCAUCCAAUGAUGAUGCGCUAGUCGCUAAUCCGCACGAAUUAUCCGCAAGAAUCAGGGCUGGGGUUCUCGGCGUUGGCGCCGGGCGGAGCCACAGAAAUGGGGGCCGAGAACAGCGGCUAAUUUUAGCCAGCAGCGCGGAGGGAAAAGCCUGAGGCAGCCGCUCGCCCGCCUGCCUCCAAGAAACCGCGGCGAUCUGUCGCCUAUCCAAUCGCGUCGCCGCCGAACUCGAAUUCGAUUUGGUUUCCUGGGCGGUGGGAGAGGAUGCANNNNNNNN